Molecule: ribosomal RNA, 513 nt
Filed under: uncultured bacterium
Lineage: Bacteria
Description: bacterial SSU rRNA
Rfam family: Bacterial small subunit ribosomal RNA
Source: RNAcentral
GAUGAACGCUGGCGGCGUGCCUAAUACAUGCAAGUCGAGCGAACAGAUAAGGAGCUUGCUCCUUUGACGUUAGCGGCGGACGGGUGAGUAACACGUGGGUAACCUACCUAUAAGACUGGAAUAACUCCGGGAAACCGGGGCUAAUGCCGGAUAAUAUUUAGAACCGCAUGGUUCUAAAGUGAAAGAUGGUUUUGCUAUCACUUAUAGAUGGACCCGCGCCGUAUUAGCUAGUUGGUGGGGUAAUGGCUUACCAAGGCAACGAUACGUAGCCGACCUGAGAGGGUGAUCGGCCACACUGGAACUGAGACACGGUCCAGACUCCUACGGAAGGCAGCAGUAGGGAAUCUUCCGCAAUGGGCGAAAGCCUGACGGAGCAACGCCGCGUGAGUGAUGAAGGUCUUCGGAUCGUAAAACUCUGUUAUUAGGGAAGAACAAAUGUGUAAGUAACUGUGCACGUCUUGACGGUACCUAAUCAGAAAGCCACGGCUAACUACGUGCCAGCAGCCGCGGUAA